UAUUUAAGGCUCUGAGCAUUGGAUAGCUGCUCAGACCAAAGAGGCAAUACUGGUGUAAGCAGAAGAUUACCUUUCAAGGAAAGAAAUUUCCUGUUGAAUCCAGAUGAAACAAACACAGAAGAUGCUGCUACCUGCAAGGCAUGAAAAGCUGGCUUAAAGGAACUGAAACAAGAACUAGAGGCUUCCUAAAAGGAAUUAAAGCAAGAAAACCACUUGACAACUUCUCGAAACCUAUUAAAGCUACAUCCAGAGAUUUCCCAGAAAGGGCAAAGAUAUGAUCUGCAGUUGGAAAUAAUUACUUGGUGAACGCAGCAGCUACAAAGAGACUAGACAGAUUGGGAAACCCAGUUACAAAAUAUUCACUCUAGACUGGCAAAAUAGAUUGAUAAGGUUACCAGCAACCUGACCACAUAUUUUCUAGGGUAUAAGGAAGACUGAGAAAGCCUUGGCCAGCAUGGGACUUGCUAACAGAGAUAAGCUGCAGCAAGGACUCAAAGAGCUUGAAAAAAAAAUCACCAGGAGAAAGAAUUCAGAGGCUUGAAGAUCACAGCUGAAGCCAGCCAUCUGCCUGGGGUUUCAGAACAGUGAGAGAAUCAGCAGCCUAACAGAAGAGAGCAGUCAUUAGUGAGGAAAACAGAAGCUGAUUGCCAUGAGCCCUAGAAACAUCAUCACAGGCACUUGGGCAGCAUAAUGCUGUGAAACAACGCUGGGCACAAGCGCACACAUGCCAGCAAAACAGCACCCAAGCUCUAGUGAUGAGGUCUG
This is a long non-coding RNA of Gavialis gangeticus (Gharial), 765 nucleotides long. RefSeq lists it as uncharacterized. Lineage: Eukaryota; Metazoa; Chordata; Crocodylia; Gavialidae. The transcript is spliced from 3 exons. The record is from RefSeq and is a predicted model, not a curated record.